GUAACUGGUCUGAGAGGAUGAUCAGUCACACUGGAACUGAGACACGGUCCAGACUCCUACGGGAGGCAGCAGUGGGGAAUAUUGGACAAUGUGCGAAAGCCUGAUCCAGCCAUGCCGCGUGUGUGAAGAAGGUCUUCGGAUUGUAAAGCACUUUAAGUUGGGAGGAAGGGCAGUAAAUUAAUACUUUGCUGUUUUGACGUUACCGACAGAAUAAGCACCGGCUAGCUCUGUGCCAGCAGCCGCGGUAAUACAGAGGGUGCAAGCGUUAAUCGGAAUUACUGGGCGUAAAGCGCGCGUAGGUGGUUUGUUAAGUUGGAUGUGAAAUCCCCGGGCUCAACCUGGGAACCGCAUUCAAAACUGGGGUGGUGGAAUUUCCUGUGUAGCGGUGAAAUGCGUAGAUAUAGGAAGGAACACCAGUGGCGAAGGCGACCACCUGGACUGAUACUGACACUAAGGUGCGAAAGCGUGGGGAGCAAACAGGAUUAGAUACCCUGGUAGUCCACGCCGUAAACGAUGUCAACUAGCCGUUGGGAGCCUUGAGCUCUUAGUGGCGCAGCUAACGCAUUAAGUUGACCGCCUG
RNAcentral lists this ribosomal RNA (580 nucleotides) under uncultured Pseudomonas sp. RNAcentral's name for it is "bacterial SSU rRNA". It matches the Rfam family "Bacterial small subunit ribosomal RNA", at positions 283 to 875 of the family's 1533-position model. The record is from RNAcentral. Lineage: Bacteria; Pseudomonadati; Pseudomonadota; Gammaproteobacteria; Pseudomonadales; Pseudomonadaceae.